AUGCAACGACGGGUGAGCGCCCCUGGCGGCGCCGCCCGAUCUACUCCCUCCGGCAUCCCCUGCUGCCGCCAGGACCAGAUCCGAAAUCUCCACACUGCCCUCUCUCUUCAGCCCCUCGGAGCCCUCGAUAUGGAUGCUCGCCGGCCCGCGGGGACCCCCUUGCCCGCGACUGCUACGCCGUCAUCUGCGCCUUCGUCGACCGCUCUGGCCCCAUCCCUCACCGCUCCUGCUCUGGCGGCCGCGCUCGCCGCGGCCUUCCUCGCCGGCCACAAGGCCGGCCCGGCCGUACGAGGACGUCUCGUCUCCUGCAAGCUCCGCUCCACGACUACGGCGCCGGCCAGCCAAUCUCCGCCAACCGCCGCCCCCGGCCACCUUGCCGGUGCCUCCUCCGGCAUUUUGCCGGUGCCCUCUGGCCUCCUAGGCUCGCCGGCGUCGUCGCCUCGAUCCACGGCUCCCACGUCAAGCACCCAUCUGCCCCGGUCAAAUCUGGAUCGGGGACAUGUGCCUCCGCCGCCAGUGCCACGUCUGCGCCCUGUGGUCCCUGUAACCCCUCCGGAGAUGUCGGCUAUGCUGCCUUGCCAUAAUGGCGGCCACAUCCGCCCGCCCGCUGAGCCGUCGAGCCCCUGCUGCCUCACCUCUGCUGUUAAUGCCGGCCAGCUCAACACCUGUGGGCGCGAGGCGGAGGCGACCGGAGGCUGGCAACUCGUCAAAUCGCACUGCGGCCCGCGCCACCCAGAUUUGGCCGCCCAAGCAUUCAAGCCCUCCUCCAUCCCGAGCUGGCUUAAAGGCCGUUGUUGUCGCUGCCUGGCCCCUGGUCACCGCGCCUUCGUCUGCCGCGACCCCGUUCGGUGCGCGCGUUGCUUGGAAAACGGCCACCGGGCUCGCGGCUGCUGCAACAAGUGGAGGCCUCUUAGCUCCCUCGCAAGCCUCGUCGUACCGCCGCCGCUUCCUCGCCCUCGACUUGCUGUUGCGACGGUCCAAGAUCCUGCUCCUCGGUUCGGUCCAGGCAGGGGCUGGCCUCUUCCCCAACUUGGCCAGCCACAACUAUUAGACUAUGCUGGCAUCGGUUCGAUGCCACGACCUGAUGACUUUGUAGUCGUCCCGGCCACAACGGAGAGGCAGGCCGAGUCGGCAUCGAUCAUUGUGGGGCAGACUGAGCUCCUCCACGCUGAGCUUCGUGAUUGCAUUGUGCGUGUUGGGAAUGUUUUGGCAAGUGCAGAGGCCGCUGUCGCUAAACUCCAAGUUGUGCCCAUUGUGACCCCGUACCCGAGAUCCAGGUUGAUUCUGUCGAUGGGGAGGCAGGAAUGUAUGGAGAUCUUUCCCCUCGUGCUACAUCGUGCCCGUCGUCACUGCAUGUCAUGCCGAUUGCUUCUGGGGGUGAAGCCGUUGUCAAGGUCGUGGCUCCGGUGCUGCAGAUUAUGCCUGAGUUGUAGAAGCUCUGUGAGGAGCCCACUUCGCCUAUUUCGAUGGUGCUACCUAAGGAGUCAGGGUCGCUUGGAGGGGCCUUGGCGAUGCCAACUGCGACCUCACCGCAGUCGUUGGAGCCCAGUGAGCCGCUCGCCUUUGUGGACCGUGAAGGUUUGGAUGCUGUUGUUGCUCUCUCACCUGUGGCUGUUGGGCAGGCGACGCCUGAUGUGGUCGGUACUUUGGCACCUAAUUCCGCGGCGCUGA
Molecule: ribosomal RNA, 1671 nt
Filed under: Triticum aestivum (bread wheat)
Lineage: Eukaryota; Viridiplantae; Streptophyta; Magnoliopsida; Poales; Poaceae
Description: partial small subunit ribosomal RNA
Source: RNAcentral